AUAUCUAUUAAUAUCCCCAGCCAAAAUUAUUUCAUCAGCAAACCAAGAUAUACCUCUUCACUUAACAUGUCGAAAACAAGAGUACAGGGGAAUGCGAGAUGCAUAACAGCCCUUGUAUACAAAAUUCACACGCGCAAGUCAGUUAUAUAUAUAGCCAAUAAUAGGCAACACUAAACUAAAAGAAUUUAGGUCUUUAGCAGGCUCACUUUCAAUCUUUCAGUCUAUCCAACAAAUUAAAAAUAUUUAAAUUAAUAAAAUAGCAACUAACUCUUGGUUCAGCGGUAUCUACCUUGCUUCCUUUACCGGAUGUCGAGGGUUCGAUCCUUCUCAAAGACAAAACGAGUGUGUGCGUGGGUUUAAUCAUCAAAACAAUAACCAGCAUCACAAAUCGACUAUGUAGGUAAAUCCUCUUAACAGUUAAUGACGAAUAAUAUAAAGUUCUAAGUUGUGGUGCUUAAAUAAUCGCCCAUUUAGUUAAACCUAUCCUUCAACUGCUUUUAACCAAUAGAUGUAAUAUUUCGGAAUGGGGGAUCUUUGCUGAUUGCAGUUUUGGAUAUUAUAUUCAAAGGGAUCAAAUAAUUCAGAACCAAACCAGAUUCCAAAACAUUCCGUAUUAGUACACCAAGAAUACCUAUACUAUUCUAGUGUUCUUAUCCACUAAAAUCAACAAGAGUUAUCAUAAAGACACAACAAGUAAAAAUUCGGAGAAACAGCUACAAUCCCAUGAAGAAAUUGGCCUAGUCAGUAUGACCCCAGAUUCAUCCUAGCGAUCUCCAAAAUUANUUCCUCCCACCUCACACACUUAAGAAUACCUCAUGCACCAUUGGAAAUGACAAACAUUGAAACAACCAAGGAAGCACAUGGAUAAUAGGCAAAUCCACAUCAAUCUUAGAGGGCGUUUGGAUACGUGCAUUUCAUUUCAAAUGAUGGAUUUUAAAUGACAGGAUUUGAGUUGUCAUUUCAAACUAUCAGCUUUAUACUAAUAUUUGAAUGUCCUGGAUUUCAAAUGAAAUCCAAAUCUAUAUUCCCAAACAGAUUAUGUGUUCAAAUUCAGAAUUUCAAAUGAAAUCCAGGUUCCCAAACGGACCAUGAAGUAAAUUACUCUGAUUAAUUCGAAAUUUACCCUAAUAUUCAAGUACUACGACACAUGUAUAUUCAUAAGACCUUAGAUUCCAAUUCUAAAUAUCUAUUAAUAUCCCCAGCCAAAAUUAUUUCAUCAGCAAACCAAGAUAUACCUCUUCACUUAACAUGUCGAAAACAAGAGUACAGGGGAAUGCGAGAUGCAUAACAGCCCUUGUAUACAAAAUUCACACGCGCAAGUCAGUUAUAUAUAUAGCCAAUAAUAGGCAACACUAAACUAAAAGAAUUUAGGUCUUUAGCAGGCUCACUUUCAAUCUUUCAGUCUAUCCAACAAAUUAAAAAUAUUUAAAUUAAUAAAAUAGCAACUAACUCUUGGUUCAGCGGUAUCUACCUUGCUUCCUUUACCGGAUGUCGAGGGUUCGAUCCUUCUCAAAGACAAAACGAGUGUGUGCGUGGGUUUAAUCAUCAAAACAAUAACCAGCAUCACAAAUCGACUAUGUAG
This 1582-nucleotide long non-coding RNA is filed under the name Daucus carota (carrot). RNAcentral describes it as "long non-coding RNA (DCAR_LNC000119)". The record is from RNAcentral. Lineage: Eukaryota; Viridiplantae; Streptophyta; Magnoliopsida; Apiales; Apiaceae.